GAUGAACGCUGGCGGCGUGCCUAAUACAUGCAAGUCGAGCGAACGGACGAGAGGCUUGCUUCUCUGAUGUUAGCGGCGGACGGGUGAGUAACACGUGGAUAACCUAUCUAUAAGACUGGGAUAACUUCGGGAAACCGGAUCUAAUACCGGAUAAUAUUUUGAACCGCAUGGUUCAAAAGUGAAAGACGGUCUUGCUGUCACUUAUAGAUGGAUCCGCGCUGCAUUAGCUAGUUGGUAAGGUAACGGCUUACCAAGGCGACGAUGCGUAGCCGACCUGAGAGGGUGAUCAGUCACACUGGAACUGAGACACGGUCCAGACUCCUACGGGAGGCAGCAGUAGGGAAUCUUCCGCAAUGGGCGAAAGCCUGACGGAGCAACGCCGCGUGAGUGAUGAAGGUCUUCGGAUCGUAAAACUCUGUUAUUAGGGAAGAACAUAUGUGUAAGUAACUGUGCACAUCUUGACGGUACCUAAUGAGAAAGCCACGGCUAACUACGUG
RNAcentral lists this ribosomal RNA (497 nucleotides) under uncultured bacterium. Its description in RNAcentral is "partial 16S ribosomal RNA". It matches the Rfam family "Bacterial small subunit ribosomal RNA", at positions 28 to 507 of the family's 1533-position model. The record is from RNAcentral.